Molecule: long non-coding RNA, 254 nt
Filed under: Panax ginseng (ginseng)
Lineage: Eukaryota; Viridiplantae; Streptophyta; Magnoliopsida; Apiales; Araliaceae
Description: long non-coding RNA (PGIN_LNC008336)
Source: RNAcentral
UAAUAAAUCAGAUAUUUAGAACAUAUGGUAGAUGAUAAAACUUUUCAACCAUAGUUGCAGCGGAAUGAGCAAUCCAUUAGAAGAGUCAAAUAGACUAUAAAGUCUAUUAUCUUCUCCAUGUUAAAAGUCCACCAACAAUGUUUUAUCCCUGUAACAUCAAUCAACAAUUCCUGUCCACAAUCACAUGUAUAACUCAUAAUCGUAAUUGUUGUUCUAAAUUCCUUUUCUCAUUCAGGACGAAGAUAAUUUUCAUC